GACGAACGCUGGCGGCGUGCUUAACACAUGCAAGUCGAACGGAAAGGCCCUGCUUUUGUGGGGUGCUCGAGUGGCGAACGGGUGAGUAACACGUGAGUAACCUGCCCUUGACUUUGGGAUAACUUCAGGAAACUGGGGCUAAUACCGGAUAGGAGCUCCUGCUGCAUGGUGGGGGUUGGAAAGUUUCGGCGGUUGGGGACGGACUCGCGGCUUAUCAGCUUGUUGGUGGGGUAGUGGCUUACCAAGGCUUUGACGGGUAGCCGGCCUGAGAGGGUGACCGGCCACAUUGGGACUGAGAUACGGCCCAGACUCCUACGGGAGGCAGCAGUGGGGAAUAUUGCGCAAUGGGCGGAAGCCUGAUGCAGCAACGCCGCGUGCGGGAUGACGGCCUUCGGGUUGUAAACCGCUUUCGCCUGUGACGAAGCGUGAGUGACGGUAAUGGGUAAAGAAGCACCGGCUAACUACGUG
RNAcentral lists this ribosomal RNA (468 nucleotides) under uncultured bacterium. RNAcentral's name for it is "partial 16S ribosomal RNA". It matches the Rfam family "Bacterial small subunit ribosomal RNA", at positions 28 to 507 of the family's 1533-position model. The record is from RNAcentral.